This 512-nucleotide ribosomal RNA is filed under the name uncultured bacterium. Its description in RNAcentral is "partial 16S ribosomal RNA". It matches the Rfam family "Bacterial small subunit ribosomal RNA", at positions 28 to 523 of the family's 1533-position model. The record is from RNAcentral.
GACGAACGCUGGCGGCGUGCCUAAUACAUGCAAGUCGAGCGGACGGAUGGGAGCUUGCUCCCUGAAGUCAGCGGCGGACGGGUGAGUAACACGUGGGCAACCUGCCCCUAAGAUCGGGAUAACUUCGGGAAACCGGAGCUAAUACCGGAUAUGAUCAUCCCUCACAUGAGGGAUGAUGGAAAGACGGUUUCGGCUGUCACUUAGGGAUGGGCCCGCGGCGCAUUAGCUAGUUGGUGAGGUAACGGCUCACCAAGGCGACGAUGCGUAGCCGACCUGAGAGGGGGAUCGGCCACACUGGGACUGAGACACGGCCCAGACUCCUACGGGAGGCAGCAGUAGGGAAUCUUCCGCAAUGGACGAAAGUCUGACGGAGCAACGCCGCGUGAGUGAAGAAGGUUUUCGGAUCGUAAAACUCUGUUGUCAGGGAAGAACAAGUACCAUAGUAACUGAUGGUACCUUGACGGUACCUGACCAGAAAGCCACGGCUAACUACGUGCCAGCAGCCGCAGUAA